AUGCAACACCCAUGCAACGCCGCAGCCGCCAGGCAGGGGUUGCUCCGAACGCCCCCACGUCGCCGAGCCCCUCGGCCUCUUUCAAAAGCGCGUGUCAAAAGGUUAGCGGCACAGGCGUUUCUUGGGAUUUUUUUUUUUCUCUUGCGGCUUGCUUCUGGUGGAAAUUACUCAGCUUUCCAGAGCAGAAACCUCAAGCAGCGCGGCCGCGUCUCUGACCCAGCUCAUCGCUGCCGCCACUCCACAAACCACUUCCUUCCCGGUUCCCGGCAGCCGGUGCCGGCGGGCAAUCCAAGGGCCGGGACCGCCGGCUCAUUUUGGCUCUGCCGGCGGCGAGGGGCCGCGCUCGCUGCCGCCCCGACCCUGCGCUUUGCUUGCACGCGGACGGACCGUAAUUUUGGCGCGGGAAGAGCAGCUGAGUCCGGGGCUGGCAGGUCUCGGCCGGAGGAGCUGCGAUUCCCAGCCAGCAGCUUGCAACCAGUUCGCAUUUCAGAAAAGCUCAGUGUGGGUGGGAAAGUGCUGCAUCGCCCUGCCGGCGGCUUAGAAAAGGGACCUUCCGUUUCCACCCUCUUCUCCCCGUUCCCGUCUCCCACCCCCUCCYGUUCCACUCUCGGUCUUCGAAGCUUGAGGCAAAGCACAAAUCACAACCGACUCCAGCACAGGCUUCGUCCAAAGYUCAGGCUAAAAAUUUCAGAGCAGAGAAAAGAAAAGGAGAAAAAGGAAGAACUCGAGGGGAGCAGAGAUAUUAAUGCAACCGCAUCACAGAGGAGCAGGAGCAGGGAGCCCAGACAAGGCUCGUUUUGCCCAGUUCACUGCAUUACAAGUGACACCAAGGACCUAAACUGCCUGAAGACCAACGUGUCCGUGGCCCUAGGACGACACUCGCUGUGCCGGGAGCAAGGACACARUACGGAGAUGCUGGACAAACUCGUGUCGGAGCCGUGCGUGCACUCAGGGCAGAGCCCUUCCCUCAAGGGCCGACGCAUCCGUGCAGGAAAAGCUUUCACGGAAGGAUGGGAACAAAAAGGAAGAAAUUUCACAGCUGCGAUGAUGCCACCAGCGGAAUCGCGAUCAGCAUCCCAGGGCCAGCGCUGGCUGGGAGCAGCACACGUUCCCGGCGGCCGUCGCAGCCUGCGAGCCGAGGGGAGAAGCCGAAGGCAACGUUCCCGCGCGGGCGGCGCUUGCACGGCCCCGCGGCUCCCCGCACCGGCCGCCCCCGAGCAGGACUGCAGCAGCCGGCUCCCUUCCCACCGCCGAGGCCUGACCUCAGAGAUUUGUUUUCUUUAG
RNAcentral lists this long non-coding RNA (1284 nucleotides) under Apteryx haastii (Great spotted kiwi). Its description in RNAcentral is "lncRNA (ENSAHAG00000000234.1)". Lineage: Eukaryota; Metazoa; Chordata; Aves; Apterygiformes; Apterygidae. The record is from RNAcentral.